AGGAAUUGGCGGGGGAGCACCACAACGGGUGGAGCUUGCGGUCUAAUUGGAUUCAACGCCGGAAAUCUUACCGGGACCGACAGCAAUAUGUAGGUCAGGCUGAAGACCUUACCUGAAUCGCUGAGAGGAGGUGCAUGGCCGUCGCCAGUUCGUACUGUGAAGCAUCCUGUUAAGUCAGGCAACGAGCGAGACCCGUGCCCACUGUUACCAGCAUAUCCUCCGGGAUGAUGGGUACUCUGUGGGGACCGCCGGUGUUAAAUCGGAGGAAGGUGCGGGCCACGGUAGGUCAGUAUGCCCCGAAUUUCCCGGGCUACACGCGGGCUACAAUGAAUGGGACAAUGGGUCCCUCCCCUGAAAAGGGCUGGUAAUCUCACAAACCCAUCCUUAGUUCGGAUCGAGGGCUGUAACUCGCCCUCGUGAAGCUGGAAUCCGUAGUAAUCGCGUUUCAAUAUAGCGCGGUGAAUACGUCCCUGCUCCUUGUACACACCGCCCGUCA
This 496-nucleotide ribosomal RNA is filed under the name uncultured bacterium. RNAcentral describes it as "bacterial SSU rRNA". It matches the Rfam family "Archaeal small subunit ribosomal RNA", at positions 860 to 1355 of the family's 1478-position model. The record is from RNAcentral.